GCGCUUUCGGCGCCAUUUUCGAGUGAUGCCUGAUCUCAUCAAUCUAGCGGGAGAGACAGGAUAACCUGUCCGAGAGUAUAGCGCCACUAUGACUCCGCCGGAAAAAUUACUUUAAAAAUCGCCAAAAAUUACUUGGAGCAAAGGGCAGUCGGCGGAGCUUCGCCAAGGCUGGCGCAGUCGGUUUUGACCUGUAGCAGAGAACCAAUUCUGGAGAACAGCCUCACUUCUUUGAUUGAAUACUUACAUAAUGCAUUGGAACAUGACAUGAGAUUAAGGUUUAAUAAUGAUAGAAUGAAGACCACAAUAAAAGAGACCUCUACUUAGCUCAGCAAUUCUUACCUUGUGUAAAUUUUGAUACCACCAUUGCCGCCUUCCCCUCAAAAAAGGUGAGAACUGACUAAACUACUGGUACUUAGACCAUGUGGAGAAGGAACUGAAAAUGGAAACAGAAACACGUCUGUACAGAGCAGAGUGUCAGAUAAUAGCUCAUUUUAGUAGAGGGCAAUAAAUGCCACAUGAGAUGAUCACCUCAGCAGAAAACUGUAAGUAACUGGGGACUUACAGGAGAAUUGAACAGUUGUUUCUGCUGACUCAGUAAAAAGUCUUCAUUUUAUAAUUUGU
This 621-nucleotide long non-coding RNA is filed under the name Homo sapiens (human). The record is from RNAcentral. Lineage: Eukaryota; Metazoa; Chordata; Mammalia; Primates; Hominidae.